AUAGCUCAGUGGUAGAGUGAGUGCUUAGCAUGCACGAUGUCCUGGGUUCAAUCCCAGU
RNAcentral lists this transfer RNA (58 nucleotides) under Camelus bactrianus (Bactrian camel). It matches the Rfam family "tRNA", at positions 7 to 64 of the family's 71-position model. Rfam says of the family: Transfer RNA (tRNA) molecules are approximately 80 nucleotides in length. Their secondary structure includes four short double-helical elements and three loops (D, anti-codon, and T loops). Further hydrogen bonds mediate the characteristic L-shaped molecular structure. tRNAs have two regions of fundamental functional importance: the anti-codon, which is responsible for specific mRNA codon recognition, and the 3' end, to which the tRNAs corresponding amino acid is attached (by aminoacyl-tRNA synthetases). tRNAs cope with the degeneracy of the genetic code in two manners: having more than one tRNA (with a specific anti-codon) for a particular amino acid; and 'wobble' base-pairing, i.e. permitting non-standard base-pairing at the 3rd anti-codon position. The record is from Rfam by way of RNAcentral. RNAcentral also lists the same sequence under 3 other names. Lineage: Eukaryota; Metazoa; Chordata; Mammalia; Artiodactyla; Camelidae.